This is an RNA transcript of Tachysurus fulvidraco (yellow catfish), 4008 nucleotides long. It is a transcript of the gene named E74-like factor 2b (ets domain transcription factor), with no coding region annotated. The transcript has 10 exons. NCBI's taxonomy places the organism in Eukaryota, Metazoa, Chordata, Actinopteri, Siluriformes, Bagridae. The record is from RefSeq and is a predicted model, not a curated record.
AAGGCGCGCAUGCGCAUUACAGAAUCUCGUAUUUUCUGAUAGGUUGGAGAUUUUAGCUAUGUAGCUAUAAAGAUAACAAUAUACUAAAACAGCAGAGUUUUAAAACGCCGGAUUAAAAACAUUUAUAAACAUCUGACUGUUUAUUCAGUGUGUUGCAUUGAAGGGAAUGAGGGAUGACGUCGGUGGUGUUAGUAGACAGUGGAGGAGCCGUGCUGGAAUAUGUCACUGCAGUGGAGGAUCUGCAUCAGGAAGAGGGUGUGUGUGAGGUUGAGGGAGUGUGUGAAGGUGUAUGUGAUGUGGAGGGUGUGUGUGAGGAUGUGUGUGAGAUAGAGGGAGUAUGUGAUCAGGAAGAAGAUGAGCAGUGCUCACCUGCUCAUGUGUAUGUGUACGAUGAGAACACGGAGCUGAUGCAGGGCAUUGCAGAGGAACAGGAAGUGGAGACAGAAAUAGUGGAAACAGUGGAGGCAUCAGUACAUGGAGUCUCCAGUGUUUACUGCACAGAUAAAACAAUUGAAGCAGCAGAAGCUCUUUUACAUAUGGACUCACCAUGCAGCUUACGGGGGGACCGCAGUCCAGAGGUAUUUGUCCCUCCAUGCGUGUCCACUCCAGAGUUCCUGCACGCCGCCAUGCGCCCUGAUGUUGUCACGGAGACAGUGGUAGAGGUAAGCACUGAGGAGGCAGAGCCUGUGGAGGUGGUGACGUUAAUCAAGGAACCAAGAGUGAUGGAGAGAGAUGGCAGGAAGAAGAAAACUGGGAGGAAGUCCAAUAAGCCUCAGCCUAUCUCCAAUGGCUCUCCUGAUUUAAGCAUCAAGAAGAAAUCAAGAGAUGGUAAAGGCAGUACAUACCUGUGGGAGUUCCUGUUGGACCUGCUGCAGGAUAAGAACACCUGCCCCAGGUACAUUAAGUGGACUCAGCGGGAAAAAGGCAUCUUUAAGCUGGUGGACUCUAAAGCUGUCUCUAAGCUGUGGGGCAAACACAAGAACAAACCUGACAUGAACUACGAGACCAUGGGUCGCGCUCUCAGGUACUACUAUCAAAGGGGGAUCCUGUCCAAGGUUGAAGGUCAGAGGUUAGUGUACCAGUUUAAGGAAAUGCCUAAAGACAUUGUUGUCAUUGAUGAUGACAAGUGUGAGGCAGAUGAACUGGGCGGGGUUUAUGAGCACGUCAUAGCUGCUGGCCUCUCCAAACCCUCGGGCAUUCUGAGAGGGGCGGGGUCACUUACAAGCCCCACCUCUCCCAAAGCCAGGCCUUCACCCACCGUCACACCCAUUCAGCGCAUUGUGACCGUCUCCACACCGACUGAUCCGCCCCAUGCCACAGUUACCACACCCAGGACUGUCCGAGUUGCUAUGCAAGUCCCUGUUGUCAUGACGACGCCCCUAGGUCAGAAGAUUUCAUCAGUUGCCAUGCCAACAGCAACCCCACCUUCCUCCAGUGUUACCACGGCAACCGGAGCCUCCACCUCAAAGGUUCUGAUCCAAACAGUUCCGACUGUGGAGAACAGCGAUAAGAUCACGUUACAGCUCGCCAAAAUCAUCACCAUCACACCUAUUACACUUGCCCUGCCCUCUGGCACAGACCCCACCCACUCACAUACACACAGCUCUGUACCCAGCAGUCAGCUUCCUGUGCAUAUACACAUACAGUCUGACAGUCACAUGACACACACAGAACUUACUCAACAGGAAGUAGAGGCACACACACAGGAAGUCACUGCUCACAUGCACAGCUAAAGGUAAAGGGCAGUCUCUUUCUGUUUCUGUCUCUCUCUCACUCACACACAUACACCAGCCAAAUAGGAAUUGCAGGAAAUUAGUGGUAAAAAGAUGUAGAGGUAAAAAAAAAAAAAAAAGGGACUUUCAUGGAACACGCACACACUGCUAGAGCGGUCCUGUAAAUACAGUGGGACUGUUCAAGGGACCAGCGUGAGGCCACAGUGAAGGGCACUACAGAGAGGAGGAACACUACAAAGGACAUGUAUGGACAUGCUGUGUGUGUGUGUGUGUGUGUGUGUGUGUGUGUGUGUACACACUUUUAUACCUGUACAGUCUUUUGGGGGAUUUGUGAUGCAAAACCAGCAAUUAAGUUUGUACUAUCACUGUGUCACAGGAUGAAGGGAAUGGACUGAUGGUGGGUGAGAAAAAGAAGGGAAUGUAGGAAAGAGAUGGAAAUGUGUGUGUGAGGUUCAUAUGCUGUUAGGCCAAAAGUAUGUGCCCCGACCAUCAGACCCCCACUUCUGUCUUCCUCAAACUGUUCCACACACUAAGUCUCACAGCUGGACUGAACAUCUGUGUGUAACAGUUUCCUUCGGUGGAACUCUGAGUCCCAUCAUGACAAUGUCGCAGCAGCUCCAUUAUGACAUGGUGUAGAGGUGAAGGUUGGAGUGAAGAACACGAGUAUCCUGCACUGAGCCCUGACUCUGACUCAACCCUCCUGAACACCGAAUGGACCUCCUCACCAACAUCAGUGUCUGAUCUCACUAAUGCUCUUGUAGCUGAAGGAUCACUAAUCCCACAGACACAAUCCAACAUCUAGUAGAGAACCUUCACAGAUGAGCAGAGAUGAUUAGAACAUCAGAGGAAAUCAAUCAGGAAUGUUCCAAUAAAAUCAGGAAGAAAUUCACAUUAUUUCAUGUUCAAACACCUCAAACUAAACUGAGAGCUGGAAAACACCAAAACACAAGCAAAUAAUUAAAAUAAAAAUCUAUUCUAAUUAGAAAUGUCUACAAGCCAGCAUCUCACUCCCAGUUUAACAUGUGUUGGAGUAUCAGUGAAGACCUUUGGAUGCUUUAUCAAGGCUGGAAUGAGGCAUAUUAAUCUUGGACGCAUGAAUGAUAUGUGAAUCAAGUCACAUCCAGGGUUCUUAUCCUAGAAGAAAACUUCCUUCUGUUCUGACAGUGUUUCUCAGGUCCAUCAGGAUGAUACUCCAUGUCCACAACCAGAGGAACGUCACUCAAAGCCUCUGGAAUGUGAUCAAGAGAAAGACUGAUGGAUGCAAACCAUUAAACAAAGCUAGAGUCGAGUCACCCAGCAGUGUGCGAGCUCUGAGUGAAAUGGGUUAUUAAUCACCUAAUAUUCUACCUUCAAACAUUAAUUCUGUGUUAUUUAGAAAUGAAUAUGAACCUGAUUCCUUUCGAGGUUUGAGAACACUACAGCUUUUGUCUUUUUCUGCUAAUAAAUUCUAUAAAUGCUUUUUUUUACAUUUUUAUUUGAAGGCAUUUUUACAGUAGUUUAUAGAAAAAAAACCCCAAAUGUUUAUUUUACUUUAUGAAUGAUGUAUAAUUAUGUAAUGUACAUGAAGUGUGUAAUGUGUCAGGUACAUGAUGUUUACACUGAUGUGAGCUAAUGCACUGCGCAUGUGUGUUCCUGCCACUAGAGGGCGACAAAAGUCCAUGCUCAGUAAAUGAGACCCUAAUGAAGGAACGAUCACAUUUCUUCCUCUAUUGCUCCUUCAAAGAUAAAGACAGAGAACUGAAGGAGAGAGAAUGGAGGCAAGUGAGAAUCUGAGGGAAAAGUAAAGACUGACAUUCUGCUUCACAUCCUGCUUAUAAAUGCAGUUUGUAUCACACACUUUGCAUUUGGGGUUCUGAGACGUGUGUGUAAUAGAGAGUGUGAGAGAUGGAUUAAUGGAAGAGAUGGAGUGAAAAUGGAUGUGGUGUUCUGGUAGCUGGAGAUCCAAUCUCACACUGCUUCAUGUUUAGAAUCGUGUACACUCCCCUGUAACUCUGCUUUCUGUAACUCAGGUCAGUACUCAGCUCCAGAAUUAUUGGCCCCCUUCAUGAAAUUGCAUUCUGUAUAUAAACAUAUGCAGUGAGAGAUUACAUAAAUGUUUAAAACAGUGUUAUGUAAAAUUACCCCCACAUUCAUUAAUAUUAGGUACUGCUCUCCUACUUGUUCGUUCUAUCCUUACAUGGAGUUCUACCACUGCUUACACAGCUACAGUGGAUGGAGAAGAGCAAAAAAUGUAUAAAGAUCCAUCUGCACACAAAUGACUGUGUGUGUAUUGUUA